CAGUAGCCGCGGUAAUACGGAGGAUCCAAGCGUUAUCCGGAUUUAUUGGGUUUAAAGGGUGCGUAGGUGGCCUGUUAAGUCAGGGGUGAAAGACGGUAGCUCAACUAUCGCAGUGCCUUUGAUACUGACGGGCUUGAAUGAACUAGAGGUAGGCGGAAUGUGACAAGUAGCGGUGAAAUGCAUAGAUAUGUCACAGAACACCAAUUGCGAAGGCAGCUUACUAUGGUUUUAUUGACACUGAGGCACGAAAGCGUGGGGAUCAAACAGGAUUAGAUACCCGCGUAGUCCCUGUCUCUUAUAC
Molecule: ribosomal RNA, 301 nt
Filed under: uncultured bacterium
Lineage: Bacteria
Description: partial 16S ribosomal RNA
Rfam family: Bacterial small subunit ribosomal RNA
Source: RNAcentral